CAUCAUGCCCCUUAUUGACCUAGGUGCUACACACGUGUCUGCAAGUGCGACACGUACAAAGGGCAGCGAAACCGCGAGGUUAAGCCAAUCCCACAAAUCUGUUCUCAGUUCGGAUCGCAGUCUGCAACUCGACUGCGUGAAGCUGGAAUCGCUAGUAAUCGCGGAUCAGCAUGCCGCGGUGAAUACGUUCCCGGGCCUUGUACACACCGCCCGUCACACCACGAGAGUUUGUAACACCCGAAGUCGGUGAGGUAACCUUUAUGGAGCCAGCCGCCGAAGGUGGGACAGAUGAUUGGGGUGAAGUCGUAACAAGGUAGCCGUAUCGGAAGGUGCGGUUGGAGCACGUCCUGACUUUAUGGA
Molecule: ribosomal RNA, 360 nt
Filed under: Bacillus amyloliquefaciens
Lineage: Bacteria; Bacillati; Bacillota; Bacilli; Caryophanales; Bacillaceae
Description: bacterial SSU rRNA
Rfam family: Bacterial small subunit ribosomal RNA
Source: RNAcentral